AUUGAACGCUGGCGGCAGGCUUAACACAUGCAAGUCGAGCGGGGGAAGGUAGCUUGCUACUGGGCCUAGCGGCGGACGGGUGAGUAAUGCUUAGGAAUCUGCCUAUUAGUGGGGGACAACAUCUCGAAAGGGAUGCUAAUACCGCAUACGUCCUACGGGAGAAAGCAGGGGAUCUUCGGACCUUGCGCUAAUAGAUGAGCCUCAGUCGGAUUAACUAGUUGGUGGGGUAAAGGACUACCAAGGCGACGAUCUGUAGCGGGUCUGAGAGGAUGAUCCGCCACACUGGGACUGAGACACGGCCCAGACUCCUACGGGAGGCAGCAGUGGGGAAUAUUGGACAAUGGGGGGAACCCUGAUCCAGCCAUGCCGCGUGUGUGAAGAAGGCCUUAUGGUUGUAAAGCACUUUAAGCGAGGAGGAGGCUACUUUAGUUAAUACCUAGAGAUAGUGGACGUUACUCGCAGAAUAAGCACCGGCUAACUCUGUGCCAGCAGCAGCCGCCG
Molecule: ribosomal RNA, 501 nt
Filed under: uncultured bacterium
Lineage: Bacteria
Description: partial 16S ribosomal RNA
Rfam family: Bacterial small subunit ribosomal RNA
Source: RNAcentral